UUAGAGUUUGAUCCUGGCUCAGGACGAACGCUGGCGGCAUGCCUAACACAUGCAAGUCGAACGGGGGUAUGACUUCGGUUGUACCCUAGUGGCGAACGGGUGAGUAACACGUGAGCAACCUGCCCUGUACAACGGGAUAACACUAAGAAAUUAGUGCUAAUACGGUAUAUGACCACACCGAGGCAUCUCGGAGGGGUAAAAGCGAAUUAGCGGUACAGGAUGGGCUCGCGUCCAAUUAGCUAGUUGGUGGGAUAACAGCCCACCAAGGCGACGAUUGGUAGCCGACUUGAGAGAGUGAUCGGCCACACUGGAACUGAGAUACGGUCCAGACUCCUACGGGAGGCAGCAGUGGGGAAUAUUGGGCAAUGGAGGAAACUCUUACCCAGCAAUGCCGCGUGAGUGAAGAAGGUCUUCGGAUUGUAAAGCUCUUUGAUUGGGGACGAAUAUUUGACGGUACCGGGAGAGGAAGUCACGGCUAACUACGUGCCAGCAGCCGCGGUAACACGUAGGUGGCGAGCGUUAUUCGGAUUUACUGGGCGUAAAGGGUCCGCAGGGGGCCUGCCAAGUCUGUCGUGAAAUUCCGGGGCUCAACCCCGGGACUGCGCUGGAAACUGGUGGGCUUGAGUAUGUGAUGGGUAGACGGAACACCUGGUGUAGCGGUGGAAUGCGUAGAUAUCAGGUGGAACACCGAUGGCGAAGCCGGUCUGCUGGCACAUUACUGACCCUCAUGGACGAAAGCGUGGGUAGCAAACAGGAUUAGAUACCCUGGUAGUCCACGCCGUAAACUUUGAGAACUAGAUAUGGUGAGGCUGGCCCUCUCCGUGUCCGAGCUAACGCGUUAAGUUCUCCGCCUGGGGACUACGGCCGCAAGGCUAAAACUCAAAGGAAUUGACGGGGGCCCGCACAAGCGGUGGAGCAUGUUGCUUAAUUCGAGGCAACGCGAAGAACCUUACCCGGGUUUGACAUGUUUAGGCCCGGCUGUGAAAGCAGCCUUUCCUUCGGGACCUUUACACAGAUGCUGCAUGGCUGUCGUCAGCUCGUGCCGUGAGGUGUUCGGUUAAGUCCGGCAACGAGCGCAACCCGUACUGUCAGUUACCAUCAGGUGAUGCUGGGGACUCUGGCAGGACUGCCCGCGUCAAGCGGGAGGAAGGCGCGGAUGACGUCAAGUCCGUAUGGCUCUUACACCCGGGGCUGCAAACGUGCUACAAUGGUCGGUACAAUGGGAUGCGCCCCUGCGAAGGUUAGCCAAUCUUUAAAACCGGCCCCAGUUCGGAUCGCAGUCUGCAACUCGACUGCGUGAAGUCGGAAUCGCUAGUAAAGGGAUAUCAGCAACGGUCCCUUGAAUACGUUCCCGGGCCUUGCACACACCGCCCGUCA
RNAcentral lists this ribosomal RNA (1377 nucleotides) under uncultured bacterium. RNAcentral describes it as "16S ribosomal RNA". It matches the Rfam family "Bacterial small subunit ribosomal RNA". The record is from RNAcentral.